UACGUAGGGGGCAAGCGUUGUCCGGAUUUAUUGGGCGUAAAAGGCUUGUAGGUGGCCACGCCAAGUCGGAUGUGAAAUCUCCCGGCUCAACUGGGAGGGGUCAUUCGAUACUGGUGGGCUCGAGGCCGGUAGGGGGAAGUGGAAUUCCCGGUGUAGUGGUGGAAUGCGUAGAUAUCGGGAGGAACACCUAUGGCGAAGGCAGCUCGCUGGGACGUUACUGACGCUGAGACGCGAAAGCGUGGGGAGCAAACAGG
Molecule: ribosomal RNA, 254 nt
Filed under: uncultured bacterium
Lineage: Bacteria
Description: partial 16S ribosomal RNA
Rfam family: Bacterial small subunit ribosomal RNA
Source: RNAcentral